ACUGAACGCUGGCGGCAUGCCUUACACAUGCAAGUCGAACGGCAGCACGGGUGCUUGCACCUGGUGGCGAGUGGCGAACGGGUGAGUAAUACAUCGGAACAUGUCCUGUAGUGGGGGAUAGCCCGGCGAAAGCCGGAUUAAUACCGCAUACGAUCUACGGAUGAAAGCGGGGGACCUUCGGGCCUCGCGCUAUAGGGUUGGCCGAUGGCUGAUUAGCUAGUUGGUGGGGUAAAGGCCUACCAAGGCGACGAUCAGUAGCUGGUCUGAGAGGACGACCAGCCACACUGGGACUGAGACACGGCCCAGACUCCUACGGGAGGCAGCAGUGGGGAAUUUUGGACAAUGGGCGAAAGCCUGAUCCAGCAAUGCCGCGUGUGUGAAGAAGGCCUUCGGGUUGUAAAGCACUUUUGUCCGGAAAGAAAUCCUUGGCCCUAAUACGGUCGGGGGAUGACGGUACCGGAAGAAUAAGCACCGGCUAACUACGUG
Molecule: ribosomal RNA, 486 nt
Filed under: uncultured bacterium
Lineage: Bacteria
Description: partial 16S ribosomal RNA
Rfam family: Bacterial small subunit ribosomal RNA
Source: RNAcentral